This 9158-nucleotide long non-coding RNA is filed under the name Trifolium pratense (red clover). Its description in RNAcentral is "long non-coding RNA (TPRA_LNC004745)". Lineage: Eukaryota; Viridiplantae; Streptophyta; Magnoliopsida; Fabales; Fabaceae. The record is from RNAcentral.
GAAUGAUGGUUUUAGAAAUGGUUGGUCGAAGAAAGAACAUCAAAGUUGAAGUGGAUUGUUCUAGCGAGUUAUAUUUUCCACACUACAAGCGUCUUGAAUUGAAUCAGGAUCUUGGACUCAGGUGUAUUAAAAAUGAAAUUGAUGAAGAAAUGGUAAGAAAAAUGACAGUGGUGAGUUUAUGGUGUAUACAAACUGACCCUUUGCAUCGACCAGCAAUGCAUAAAGUUUUGGAAAUGUUGGAAGGGAGCGUCCAAAUGCUGGAAAUACCACCCAAACCCUUCCUGUCUUCUCCUUCAACAUCUUCAAUCCAUUUAUUAUCUGAAAUAUUAUGAUAUGUGUGGAUAUUAAGAUGCAAUGCAGAGUUUGUAACACUAGAAAAGAAUGUCAUGAUAAUUCGAAUAUAAAUAAAAAUUGAUGUAUCUAAUUGAAUUGUAAUGUUGUAACAUUUCUUUUGGUUUAUGUUUUAUGAAUAGGCUGUUAACACAUAUCCUUAUUAUUUCAUUCAUCACUACAAUUUUAUUUCCCUUCAGAUUACUAUUAUUUCAUUUAUAUCAACAUUUAUAGGAGAUAUUUUCUUAGUUUUAUAAUGAGAUAUACACUUUUAAUAUUGCAUUACACAAACAUAAUAUUCUAUGACACUACUUUCUCAACCUAAAUGUUUCUUCCUAAUUCGAAUAAUUUAUCCAGUUGUUACAGUAGUAGCUCUAUUGCUACUAGCUGUCAAGAAUCACAAGAUCUACUAUACAAGAUGGAAGGGUAAAAAUCCAACCAAUCUAGUCAUUGAGGUAUUUUUGAAGAAACAUGGAUCCCUUCAAACCAAGAGGUAUUGCACUAUUGCUACUCUGAGAUAAAGAAAGUAACCAACUCCUUCAAAAAUAAAUUAGGCCAAGGGGAUUCGGCAGUGUAUACUGUUGGAUAUUUUAUAAAUAAUUUAUUUUAAAGUUAAUUAUUUUAUAAUGAAUAAAUUAAUAAAUUUAUUUUAGACCAAGUUAUAACAUUUUGUCAAGUACACGUUUAUCUUUUAACUCCUAUUUACUUGGUUUUCAAUCAUAAUUAAUAGGAUUUGCGGUUAUAGUUGGAACAUUAUUAUUUUUAUUAAUUAGAGCAUAUGAAUAUAUGAUGUAGAGGCAUAUAUAUGAUAGUGGUACGGGAGAGGUUUAGAACAAUGAGAAUGAGAUAUGAAAUAAAAAGAAGUGAUAAAAAGCAUAACACAGUUUUCUCCUCUCCUGAUACAAUUGAGUUCCUUUUUCCUGGGUGCAUUUCCUGUUAUUAUUUUCUUGCUAGUUCUGUUACCUUGGAUAUGAUCCAUAUUCAGGAAGAACCUGUUGAAUUCUGGGGAAUUUGCGCUUAUGAGGCGGAUAAAUGCUUAAGGACAGUGCGAUCAGCACGCCUCAGGUAUUGUAUCAUAGUUCACUAUUUUGCAGGUUUAUGAUUAUGUGGUUGUUUACUAUGCGAAUGACAUCAAACUACUACAUCACAAGAGAUAAGUUCCUAUGAACUCUAUUUUAAUUUAUUCUCUAUAAUAUUUGUUGAAUUACUUAAAUUAAUAUAUGGUUAAAUAUUGUGAUUAGGUCCAAUUUUUACAACAUAUACAAAGGACAGUUAGAUGAUGGACGUUAUGUUGCAGUGAAAAUCCUAAAUGAAUUGAAGGAUAGUGGUGAGGAAUUCAUGAAUGAAAUUGCAAGUAUCUGCGAAAGUUCUCAUGUUAACAUUGUUAAUCUUCUUGGGUUCUGUUUGGAAGGUUCCAAACGAGCUUUAGUUUACGAGUUUAUGCAUAAUGGCUCUUUUGAGAAGUUUAUCUUUGAGGAAAAUGACCAUAUUCCAGAUUUCCAAUUGGACUGCCAAACUUUGUAUCACAUCGCAAUUGGUGUAGCUCGAGGGCUAGAAUACCAGCACAAAGGCUGUAAUCUUAGAAUAUUACAUUUUGACAUAAAACCUCAUAACAUUCUUUUGGACAAGAAUUUCAACCCCAAAAUUUCAGAUUUUGGACUUGCAAAGAUUUGUGCAAGAAAAGAAAGUAUGGUAUCAAUGGUAUCGAUAUUUGGUGCCAGAGGAACGACGGGAUAUAUUGCCCCCGAGGUAUUUUCUAGGAAUUUUGGUGCAGUGUCACAUAAGUCUGAUGCGUACAGUUAUGGAAUGAUGGUUAUGGAAAUGGUUGGAAGGAGAAAAAAUAUUAACACUGAAGUUGACCGAUCGAGUGAAAUAUAUUUUCCUCAUUGGAUUUACAAUCGUCUUGAUUCUAAUCAAGAUCUUGGUCUGCGGAAUAUAAGAAAUGAAAUGGAUGACGAAAAGGUGAGAAAGAUGACAAUAGUAGAGUUGUUGCAAAUGCCAUCUAAACCCUUUUUGUCUUCUCCUUCAAACUCUCAUGUCCAUUUCUUAAGUGAGACACAGACCAUAGAGUCCGUGAGAAUGCUAGAUGCAGAACAACUGGAGCAUUCCAGCUAGUGCAAAAAGCAAAGAUGACAGAAAUUAAUUUCAACUAUAUAUACUGAUGUAUUGAUAAGGGAUGUACAGUAUAGCUUUACUUAUAAUUCCUCUAUUCAUAAAAAUAGGAGUUUUUUCCGCACAACCUAAUUGUUAGAGUUGGAGGGUUAAGAUCAUUGUGAGGUAGAUCCUUUUGUAUAGUAGUUACUAGUUAUGUUAUUUAAUGUGCCAUCAAAUUCAGAAUAAUCUUGAUUAACUAUGCAGCACUCCAACUUCCUAAUCUCUACUUAUGGAUUAAAAAAUUCAUUCAACUCUGAAUGCAGGAGUUGUUAAACAUGUACUUUUUUCCAAUGUCUUUUUGGAUCAUACUCUUGUCUUUGUUUUCUAUUUUAAUUUUUUCUGCUUAGGGGAUUGUAUAAAAAGAUACUUAUUUUUAAUAAUUUACAGAACUAAUUUGAUUGUUAACAAAUAAUUUUAAAAAUGAUUUGUUUUACAUAUUUUUCAUUUUCCUUUAAAUUUAAAAAUAAUAAUAAUAAUAAUAAAUAAAUAAAUAAAUAAAUAUCUUAUGGUGACGGAAUGCAGUGUGGAAAAUGCAGAGUAAAAGCAUAGAAAAUUGCAAUGUGGAAAAUGGUACCAAGAUUGAUUUGUCAUAGUCCAAGUCAACUAAGCAUCUCAAUCAUUCAUGUAGUGUAUGGUGAAGAAUGAAUUAAGACUUUGCUAACUUUAUAAUUUUGUAUUGUACCUCACACAUAUAUUGGAUUAUGGACUAUGAUUAAUCUACAUCUCUUUUUCAUCAAGUCUUCCUCCUUCAUUUUCCAUGUCAACUGCGUAUCGAAUAAGUUCUCCAUUUAGACCACUUGAUUCAUGCAUGACACCAAUACAUAUCUAUUUGUGAACAUAAUGUCUGUAACAACUCGCACUACUUUUAACCUUCAAUACAUCAAUAAGUUGGGAUGGCUCCAGUUGAUUUGUUCUGCUUCCUCUUGUAUUUUUCCCAUAAAAANNNNNNNNNNNNNNNNNNNNNNNNNNNNNNNNNNNNNNNNNNNNNNNNNNNNNNNNNNNNNNNNNNNNNNNNNNNNNNNNNNNNNNNNNNNNNNNNNNNNNNNNNNNNNNNNNNNNNNNNNNNNNNNNNNNNNNNNNNNNNNNNNNNNNNNNNNNNNNNNNNNNNNNNNNNNNNNNNNNNNNNNNNNNNNNNNNNNNNNNNNNNNNNNNNNNNNNNNNNNNNNNNNNNNNNNNNNNNNNNNNNNNNNNNNNNNNNNNNNNNNNNNNNNNNNGAAUUGUGAUGUUGUAACAUUUCUUUUUGGUUUAUAUUUUAUGAGUAGGCUGUUAACACAUCUUUAUUAUUGCAUUUAUGCUUCAAUUUUAUCUCCCUGCAGAUUACUAUAUGAUUUCAUUUUGUCUUCAGCCUAACUUAUUUUGGUUUGCUUCAUAGUUCAAACAGAUGAAUUAGGUACACUUUUUUCGCCUUUCUGCAUUAUACAAUUAUUGCAAUAUCACACAAACAAUAGGAUGUUUCUUAAGCUCUGUGGUUUUUAGAGGCUAACUAUUGUCAUUGACUGAUAUGCAAGGCAAAGUUCUUUGCCUUUUUUUUUUACUAGGUAAAUGAAUGACAUGCUAUUAAGAACUGUAAAUAUAAAAACUGCAUGCAAGUUAUUUUCAAUACAAAAUUUAUCUUUUUUGGUUUCUUUAUUAUAAAUUGCGAGCUACUGUGAUGUUUUCCUUUAACUGUCUUAAUAGCAUGCCAGCAAUUAUGAGCCUAUGCUUAUAAUGCUGCCUUUUUAGUGAUUAAAACCUAAAAUUUGAACUGUGACUCAACUCAUUGUCUUAACCUUAAUAGUAGUACUACUCUAACAUCAUUUUGUUUUAGUGGCAUGAAUACUGGGACUCAACUGAUUCUCCUUGAUGCUACUUCAUAGGUAUAUACAAUAAAGUACCUAAAACUAAACAAGCAUUUUCGACGGAUUUUCGAUUUAAAUUACUAAUGUAUGAUGUAUCUCCAAAUACUUAUAAAUGCAUUGUUAAAUAAAUCCAAAUUCAACCCAAAUCAUAAAAAAUUAACCAAAAAACAAUAUAAGUAUACAAAAAUUCUGAAAAAACCUUGAGAUAAUAUUGAUAAAAUUGUUCAUCAAAACAAAUACACUCAAUUGUUAAAAGUAAUGAAUGAUUGCAACAACCUUAUGGAAGUAGGAUUCAAAAGAAAAAACCUUGUAAAAGUAAAUUUCUCAGUGGAGAGGACCUUUGUGGUUGAGCAAGUCAAUUAGUCAACCAUGUAAAAAGUUGAAACUUACUUUUUCUAAUUUCUUGGUGAAAUUCUGUUAUCCAACUCCAAUACCCUCCUUCUAGAACUAGAAACAUUCUCCAAAAUGAACAAAAAAAGCCCUUUGUUUGUCCUCAAUCCCUUCUCUUCUCCCUUGAUUUAUUCAUACAUUACCCUCUUCUAUUUCCUUACCAGAACCACUUUAUGCUAUGCACAACCAAAUUUUACAGCUUGUGAACCCAAAACAUGUGGCAACCAAACAAUAAGAUACCCUUUCUACAUCAAAGGAACACAAGAACCUUUUUGUGGCUACCCUGGCUUUGGUAUCUCUUGUGACAAUAAUACUGGUUUUCCAAUCCUUAAUCUUACCGAUGCAUUAUAUAUAAUUGACCAGAUUUUCUAUGAAAAUCAAUCAUUAAGAGUUUCAAAUGUUGUUUUUUCAAGAUCAAAUAUCAACAAAGAUUGUCUUUCACCUACCCAAAUCCUCACUUUUCCUAUUAACUUGUUCAAUCUUGCACAAAACCANNNNNNNNNNNNNNNNUCUGUUGAAUUGGAUAGCUGCUGAUUGUAGAGAGUGUUACGACAGUGGAGGGAGGUGUGGUUUUAAUUCAUCUAUAUAUAGUUUCAGAUGUUACUGUACUGAUAGAGUUCAUGCUGCAAAAUGUGAUUCAGGUUUGUGUCUCUUUCUCGAAAUUGCAAUUUGCAACGAUGUGAGAGCUAAAUUGUUGAAUGAUUGUUUGAUCAUAUACACGUAAAAUUGAUGGUGUUGAAAAUGAAAAGCUUUACGUAUAUUACAACAAUUUUAGUCAACUUUAUUCAUAAUUUUUCUUAAAAUAAAUUUUGGUCAAACUGUAUUUACUAAUAUUUAUUGAUCAAAUUCCAUGUUACAACACCUCUUCUCUAAGAAAGAACAAUGAAUACUUAGUUGGUUUAGUGGUGAUUGACGCUGAACUUGGUAGGGAGGACGACUGUUCGAUCCCGCAACUACGAUCAGAAGGGGGCUGGAAUCACUUGAUGCCAGAACGGACCCCGAACCAGAUUCAACAAAAAGAAAGAUCAAUCUUUUAACUCAAAAUAAACUAACAAAAAAGUCUAAAAUAAUGAAUUAUUUUGAAUAAAAAACACCUAUGCAAGUCUCUAUUGAAGUAUUUAACUUUUUAUUUGCAUUUUGUCCCUUUUGCAGUGAAGUCCCAGUCGAUGCAUACAGUGACAAUAGGUAAAUGUUUUAGAUUAAAUUAAUCGUAAAAAAACAAUUGUUGAUUAAAUUCAAUUAUUUACUUUUAUCUUAUACUAAAAAUAUGAUAUGAAUUCAAUAAAUUGGUGAUUAUUUUCUUGCUUACCCUAAACAUUUUGAUGUUGUAUCAAACAAAAAUGUCCAGUGGCCUCGGUGACUGGAGUUGCAUUUGCCUUGCUGAUAGUCUUAGUUUGCUGGUUUAGGAAAAAGAUAUUCCCUCCCACAUUUCUUUUGUUCAGGAAGGAGAAUCCAACCCAUCAAAUUAUUGAGAAGUUUUUGAAGGAACGUGGACCUCUUCCAGCUGCUAGGUACAAUUAUUCAGAUAUCAAGAAAAUAACAAACUCUUUCAAAUACAAAUUAGGUCAGGGAGGGUAUGGAAGUGUAUACAAAGGGAAGUUACACGAUGAGUGUAUAGUGGCGGUGAAGGUUUUAAAUGAAUCAAAAGGUGACGGUGAAGAUUUCAUUAAUGAAGUUGCGAGUAUUAGUAGAACUUCGCAUGUCAACAUUGUUAGACUUUUGGGGUUUUGUUUGGAUGGUUCUAAAAAGGCACUAAUAUACGAAUUUAUGCCUAAUGGAUCUCUUGAAAAGUUUAUAUACCAAACGAAAAAUCCAUUGAAGGAGGAACGUCAAUUGGAUUGCAAAACGUUGUAUGAUAUUGCAGUUGGCGUUGCUCGUGGGUUAGAGUACUUGCACAGAGGCUGCAAUACUAGAAUUUUGCAUCUUGACAUAAAACCUCAUAAUAUAUUACUAGAUGAUGAUUUUUGUCCUAAAAUUUCAGAUUUUGGACUUGCUAAAAUAUGUCCACGAAAAGAAAGUAUUGUAUCCAUAGUUGGUGCAAGGGGAACACCAGGAUAUAUUGCUCCAGAGUUGUUCUCCAGAAAUUUUGGCGGGGUGUCACAUAAAUCAGAUGUCUACAGUUAUGGAAUGAUGGUUUUAGAAAUGGUUGGUCAAAGAAAUAACAUUAAGGAGGAAGUUGAUUGUUCUAGUGAAUUAUAUUUUCCACACUGGAUUUACAAGCGUCUUGAAUUGAAUCAGGAUUUUGGACUAAGGUGUAUUAAAAGUGAAACUGAUGAAGAAAUGGUAAGAAAAAUGACAGUGGUGAGCUUAUGGUGCAUACAAACUGACCCUUCGCAUCGACCAGCAAUGCAUAAAGUAGUCGAAAUGUUAGAAGGGAGCGUCCAAGUGCUGGAAAUACCACCGAAACCUUUUCUGUCUUCUCCUUCAACAUCUUCAAUUCAUUUAUCAUUUGAAAUAUUGUGAUUUGUGUGGAAAUUAAGAUUCAAUGUAGAGUAUGUAGCACUAGAAAAGAAUGUCAUGGUAAUUAACGUAUAAAUAAAAAGUUAUGUAUAGAAUUGGAAUAUUAGUUGCAUAAUUAGGUUUGUUUUAUGAGUAGGUUGUUAUAUACUAUCAUGUAUCCUUAUUAUUGCAUUUAUCACCACAAUUUGAUUUUUUGUGUUUGACUUUGAUUAAUAAAGUUGAUCAGAGAUUAUCCUGAAGGCAAAAAGUAAUGUUGAGAUUCUAAGUUUUCAGUGAUUGACUGGUAUGCUCUUAAGAACAGCAAAAAAUAUAAAAACCUUGCAUGGGCAAGAAAGCUAGAGAUGUAAUUUCUUCAAAUAUAGGAAAUAUUUUAGUCCUUAUCCUGUCAUUAUCCUAUAUCAUGGCGCUAAAUGUUGAUGAUAGGCAGUUUCUUGUCCCAAUUAAUUGUGCGCGUAUACUAUACUGUUGAUUGUUUUGUUUUAGUGGCAUGAAGACUUGGAGUCAACUCACUUUUCUUUGAUAGGCAACCUCUUGUAUGUGUAAAGUAUCUAAAACCAAAGAAGUGCUUAGACUUGGUGUGUAUUUAUGUUGAGAAGAUGAAUUGUGAUUCAGCGAGGCUUAAUUAAACAGUAAAAAACAAUUGUUUAUUAUAUAUGAAGAAAACCCAUACUCCAUCAUCAAGAAUAAAAAUAUAAGCAAAAUUCCACCAAAUUAAGCAUAUUAAGAAAAGUAGUUAAUUCCAUAUAAUCAAUAAAAUUUCAAUAAGAAAUUAAGUCUAUAGCCUAAAAUUUACUUCAAGUCUUGACUGAACAGUUCAAACUCCAAGUCAACAAUGAUUGCAACAACCACAAAACUUAAUCAUAUAUUGCUUGCUUUCCAUUAUUAAUGCAUUGCUUCCUUUCUCAUGCUUAAUUAUCUUCCCCUGAUCACAAUUCAUAACAUUAGUCGUAAUGUCUUGGCUUUUCAUUUUCAAAUCAUUAAUUUUCUCCCUGCUUAUGCUUCAUGUUUCAGCUCAAGAUGAUGGAAGAUGUCCAACCUCUUUUAGUUGUGGACAUAUUGGCAAUAUUACUUUCCCGUUCACAGUUACACUGUGGAAUAUUGGCCAUAAGUGGUUGUGAUAAUAAAAAUAUAUCUGCUACCAAAACCAUCCAACUAGGCAAGACGCCAUCAAAACAGUUUAUUCCUGUUUUAUCUGUGGAUGGUGAUACCAUCACGGUCACAGAUGAAGCUCAACAAAAUAAUUUGUUAUCCAAAAAAUGCCAAUCCUUUAACAAUUAUCCCAUUCCUCCCACUUCUCCUUUAGCUUCUUUCUACAUCAAAUAUAAUAUAACUAUGUUCAAAUGCAAUCACUCCCUUAGUGUCACCACUCCCAAAUUAUUUGUCAAAUAUACAAACAUCAAAUAUAAGACUUUGCUAACUUUAUAAUUUUGUAUUGUACCUCACACAUAUAUUGGAUUAUGGACUAUGAUUAAUCUACAUCUCUUUUUCAUCAAGUCUUCUUCCUUCAUUUUCCAUGUCAACUGCGUAUCGAAUAAGUUCUCCAUUUAGACCACUUGAUUCAUGCAUGACACCAAUACAUAUCUAUUUGUGAACAUAAUGUCUGUAACAACUCGCACUACUUUUAACCUUCAAUACAUCAAUAAAGUUGGGAUGGCUCCAGUUGAUUUGUUCUGCUUCCUCUUGUAUUGUCACUUCACGCUGAUUUUAUCAGCAGGGCAUGGAAGCGGGUACCAAUAUAACUGUCCACGCUCAUUCAGUUGUGGAUUUCGUGGGACUUUACGUUACCCUUUCACCAAGGCAGAACAACCAGACUGUGGCUCCAUACUGAUAAAUGGCUGUGAAAUGGUAAGAAAAUGAAAUUGAUGAAGAAAUGGUAAGAAAAAUGACAGUGGUGAGUUUAUGGUGCAUACAAACCGACCCUUCACAUCGGCCAGCAAUGCAUAAAGUGGUGGAAAUGUUGGAAGGGGGCCUUCAAGUGCUGGAAAU